RNAcentral lists this ribosomal RNA (253 nucleotides) under uncultured bacterium. RNAcentral's name for it is "partial 16S ribosomal RNA". It matches the Rfam family "Bacterial small subunit ribosomal RNA", at positions 524 to 776 of the family's 1533-position model. The record is from RNAcentral.
UACGGAGGGUGCAAGCGUUACUCGGAAUCACUGGGCGUAAAGAGCGCGUAGGCGGGAUAGCAAGUCAGAUGUGAAAUCCUAUGGCUUAACCAUAGAACUGCAUUUGAAACUGUUAUUCUAGAGUACGGCAGAGGCAAGUGGAACUACAUGUGUAGCGGUAAAAUGCGUAAAUAUAUGUAAGAACACCGGUGGCGAAGGCGGCUUGCUGGGCCUGUACUGACAUUGAGGCACGAAAGCGUGGGGAGCAAACAGG